GGGCUUGUAGAUCAGCGGUAGAUCACUCCCUUGGCAUGGGAGAGGCCGGGGGUUCGAAUCCCCCCAAGUCCA
This 72-nucleotide transfer RNA is filed under the name Microcaldota archaeon. RNAcentral describes it as "Candidatus Micrarchaeota archaeon (hot springs metagenome) tRNA-Ala". It matches the Rfam family "tRNA". Rfam says of the family: Transfer RNA (tRNA) molecules are approximately 80 nucleotides in length. Their secondary structure includes four short double-helical elements and three loops (D, anti-codon, and T loops). Further hydrogen bonds mediate the characteristic L-shaped molecular structure. tRNAs have two regions of fundamental functional importance: the anti-codon, which is responsible for specific mRNA codon recognition, and the 3' end, to which the tRNAs corresponding amino acid is attached (by aminoacyl-tRNA synthetases). tRNAs cope with the degeneracy of the genetic code in two manners: having more than one tRNA (with a specific anti-codon) for a particular amino acid; and 'wobble' base-pairing, i.e. permitting non-standard base-pairing at the 3rd anti-codon position. The record is from RNAcentral. Lineage: Archaea; Nanobdellati; Microcaldota.